AAAAAAUGUCAAGACUCGAGAGGGAGAGAAAAAGCUAGCUUUAGAGAGAGAGAGAGAGAGAGAGAGAGAGAGGGCCGAUCAAAGAACCACCAUCAGCAACCUUCUUUCGGGUACCGGAGUCUUUGUCUCGCCGCCGUCUUGCUGCUGGAACUUUUGCUGCAGCUGCUUCAAGUUAAGGCCCUUAAGGUGUCUCACCUUAGGCAUGGAUACAACACUUAACUUAAGGGGAGUGCAUUUCAAUGGUGAUCAGACUAAAGAUUGAUGAACUCAAAUGCUGUUCUGUUUUGGUUAAAUUUUGGAUUUGAGUUUUUCUUUUUUCCCUCUCGUUAAUGAACACCAACUGAAGGAUGAAGAAUGAAGCUGCAAUGUAUAAGAGAAUCCCUACUUUGGUGAUUAUUGGUGGUUUCUUAUAUCAAUAGUGGGAUUGUGAUAGCCUUUUGUAUGGGGUCCAAGUGUUAACAUUGAAAGUUUCUUUAUAUGCAGUGACCAUUUAUGUAGGAGUACCAUAUAAUUAUGUAGAAGGAAAAAAAUGAGAUUACUAGGUUCUGAAUGCAGAAAGAAAGUCUUUUAAUAA
Quercus lobata is the source of this 574-nucleotide long non-coding RNA. RefSeq lists it as uncharacterized. The record is from RefSeq and is a predicted model, not a curated record. The transcript has 2 exons. Lineage: Eukaryota; Viridiplantae; Streptophyta; Magnoliopsida; Fagales; Fagaceae.